Molecule: ribosomal RNA, 253 nt
Filed under: uncultured bacterium
Lineage: Bacteria
Description: partial 16S ribosomal RNA
Rfam family: Bacterial small subunit ribosomal RNA
Source: RNAcentral
UACGAAGGGGGCUAGCGUUGUUCGGAUUUACUGGGCGUAAAGCGCACGUAGGCGGAUCGUUAAGUCGGGGGUGAAAUCCUGGAGCUCAACUCCAGAACUGCCUUCGAUACUGGCGAUCUUGAGUCCGGAAGAGGUGAGUGGAACUCCUAGUGUAGAGGUGGAAUUCGUAGAUAUUCGCAAGAACACCAGUGGCGAAGGCGGCUCACUGGCCCGGUACUGACGCUGAGGCACGAAAGCGUGGGGAGCAAACAGG